Molecule: long non-coding RNA, 712 nt
Filed under: Mytilus galloprovincialis (Mediterranean mussel)
Lineage: Eukaryota; Metazoa; Mollusca; Bivalvia; Mytilida; Mytilidae
Source: RNAcentral
AUAUCUCUUUCAACUUAUCAUGCAUUGCCCGGUUUAGAACCAGUCUAUGACUGAAAACGUGAAGUAAAUUGUUAAAAAGUGUGUAAUAAUAAAAUCAAAUAAAUAUAGAAUAAGGAGCUGUGUCAUUAUUGCCAAUGAUAAAAAUAUGCUAGAGAGUUCAAAAAUAUUUAAGAAAUUAUAGAUAAAAGUGCAACUUUUAACCACAGGAAAAACUACCAUAGAGUCAUCUUUAAAAGGUGAAACAAUUCAAUAAAAAAAACAACAGUGGCAUAAUUUAUGACAAAGCAUUAAACGCUGAUAACAAAAAAAAAACGUCAACAAUCAUCGACAACCUCUGAAUUCUAGCAUGUUUAUCAUGUUCUAAUGUGACAAAUAGUUUUUAAAAAGUUACAAUCUAAAUGAUGAGUAAAAAAAAGGAAAUACUGCAUUGCAAAAAGGAAAAGAAAAGAAAGGACAAACCAGACAGAAAACUAAAAUACUUUACAAAGUGAACAUACUAAAGAUCGAGGAUAAACUUAGAUAAUAUAAUAUAGAUUUAAACUAGGAGUACCAUUCAUAAGAAAAAUUUCUGUACAAAAUCAGGAAUAUGACAGUUGUUAUCCAUUCGUUUUAUGAGUUUAAGCUUUUGAUUUUGCCAUUAGAAUAGGGACUAUCGCUUUAGAAUUUUCCUCGGGGUUUAAAAUUUUUUAUGAUGUUACAAAUAUGUUUCCCC